This 758-nucleotide ribosomal RNA is filed under the name Staphylococcus aureus. Its description in RNAcentral is "partial 23S ribosomal RNA". It matches the Rfam family "Bacterial large subunit ribosomal RNA", at positions 460 to 1225 of the family's 2925-position model. The record is from RNAcentral. Lineage: Bacteria; Bacillati; Bacillota; Bacilli; Caryophanales; Staphylococcaceae.
CUAAGGCUAAAUACUCUCUAGUGACCGAUAGUGAACCAGUACCGUGAGGGAAAGGUGAAAAGCACCCCGGAAGGGGAGUGAAAUAGAACCUGAAACCGUGUGCUUACAAGUAGUCAGAGCCCGUUAAUGGGUGAUGGCGUGCCUUUUGUAGAAUGAACCGGCGAGUUACGAUUUGAUGCAAGGUUAAGCAGUAAAUGUGGAGCCGUAGCGAAAGCGAGUCUGAAUAGGGCGUUUAGUAUUUGGUCGUAGACCCGAAACCAGGUGAUCUACCCUUGGUCAGGUUGAAGUUCAGGUAACACUGAAUGGAGGACCGAACCGACUUACGUUGAAAAGUGAGCGGAUGAACUGAGGGUAGCGGAGAAAUUCCAAUCGAACCUGGAGAUAGCUGGUUCUCUCCGAAAUAGCUUUAGGGCUAGCCUCAAGUGAUGAUUAUUGGAGGUAGAGCACUGUUUGGACGAGGGGCCCCUCUCGGGUUACCGAAUUCAGACAAACUCCGAAUGCCAAUUAAUUUAACUUGGGAGUCAGAACAUGGGUGAUAAGGUCCGUGUUCGAAAGGGAAACAGCCCAGACCACCAGCUAAGGUCCCAAAAUAUAUGUUAAGUGGAAAAGGAUGUGGCGUUGCCCAGACAACUAGGAUGUUGGCUUAGAAGCAGCCAUCAUUUAAAGAGUGCGUAAUAGCUCACUAGUCGAGUGACACUGCGCCGAAAAUGUACCGGGGCUAAACAUAUUACCGAAGCUGUGGAUUGUCCUUUGGACAA